Molecule: long non-coding RNA, 240 nt
Filed under: Drosophila melanogaster (fruit fly)
Lineage: Eukaryota; Metazoa; Arthropoda; Insecta; Diptera; Drosophilidae
Description: long non-coding RNA:CR43962 (Dmel_CR43962)
Source: RNAcentral
GGGCAUCACUGUUCGGACAGUUUUACAACCUGUUAGCGUAAAUCUGCGCUUAAAGAAGUGCCGACAAUCAACAACAAACGCUGCAGACAAAAGGAACAAUUUGCUGACGUCACGCCGGAAUGCUGCGACAGGCGAACAAAAUUGAGAGUGAUUUCAGGGCGAAAAAUCAGGUGGAAAAUCGGGGAAGAAAAUGAUUAAAGAAAUAACGAGAACGUGGGGAAAAUACAUAGUUAGCCCGCC